Molecule: ribosomal RNA, 582 nt
Filed under: Colletotrichum sp. ETHCTR157
Lineage: Eukaryota; Fungi; Ascomycota; Sordariomycetes; Glomerellales; Glomerellaceae
Description: eukaryotic LSU rRNA
Rfam family: 5.8S ribosomal RNA (bases 225-378)
Source: RNAcentral
AAGUAAAAGUCGUAACAAGGUCUCCGUUGGUGAACCAGCGGAGGGAUCAUUACUGAGUUUACGCUCUAUAACCCUUUGUGAACAUACCUAUAACUGUUGCUUCGGCGGGUAGGGUCUCCGCGACCCUCCCGGCCUCCCGCCUCCGGGCGGGUCGGCGCCCGCCGGAGGAUAACCAAACUCUGAUUUAACGACGUUUCUUCUGAGUGGUACAAGCAAAUAAUCAAAACUUUUAACAACGGAUCUCUUGGUUCUGGCAUCGAUGAAGAACGCAGCGAAAUGCGAUAAGUAAUGUGAAUUGCAGAAUUCAGUGAAUCAUCGAAUCUUUGAACGCACAUUGCGCCCGCCAGCAUUCUGGCGGGCAUGCCUGUUCGAGCGUCAUUUCAACCCUCAAGCUCUGCUUGGUGUUGGGGCCCUACAGCUGAUGUAGGCCCUCAAAGGUAGUGGCGGACCCUCCCGGAGCCUCCUUUGCGUAGUAACUUUACGUCUCGCACUGGGAUCCGGAGGGACUCUUGCCGUAAAACCCCCCAAUUUUCCAAAGGUUGACCUCGGAUCAGGUAGGAAUACCCGCUGAACUUAAGCAUA